GGAUGAGUAGCUCAGAGGCAGAGCGGGGAGCUGUUAACUCCUAGGUCGGGAUUUCGAAAUUCCCCUCGUCCG
Molecule: transfer RNA, 72 nt
Filed under: Vibrio phage 2.275.O._10N.286.54.E11
Lineage: Duplodnaviria; Heunggongvirae; Uroviricota; Caudoviricetes
Description: tRNA-Asn
Rfam family: tRNA
About the family: Transfer RNA (tRNA) molecules are approximately 80 nucleotides in length. Their secondary structure includes four short double-helical elements and three loops (D, anti-codon, and T loops). Further hydrogen bonds mediate the characteristic L-shaped molecular structure. tRNAs have two regions of fundamental functional importance: the anti-codon, which is responsible for specific mRNA codon recognition, and the 3' end, to which the tRNAs corresponding amino acid is attached (by aminoacyl-tRNA synthetases). tRNAs cope with the degeneracy of the genetic code in two manners: having more than one tRNA (with a specific anti-codon) for a particular amino acid; and 'wobble' base-pairing, i.e. permitting non-standard base-pairing at the 3rd anti-codon position.
Source: RNAcentral